This 1047-nucleotide long non-coding RNA is filed under the name Nicotiana benthamiana. RNAcentral's name for it is "long non-coding RNA (NBEN_LNC033047)". The record is from RNAcentral. Lineage: Eukaryota; Viridiplantae; Streptophyta; Magnoliopsida; Solanales; Solanaceae.
UCGUACUCUCCUGUAACGCCGGCACCCUUCCUCGACGUCCAUCGCCAGCCAGAAAUUGCCUCCACCGGCAGCGGAGCUCCAAAUGAGCCCAAAAUUUCACCACAAACCCUCCUCCCUCUCCGCUUUCCAACCCCCAUAACCAUUUCCCUUAUAACACAACCCACUUGUUCGAAUCUUUCAUCAAAAUUUCGGUCAAAAUAUAAACUCAAUCAAAUGAGCCCAAAUCAAUACCAGAUAGUCCUCUGACCUUUCUUAUCUCGAAUCCUCGGUCAAAACCCUUCGAAUCACACCGAAGUUCCACAAAUUGGGAUCUAAGGUCACACAGUUCCGGGUUAGUGUUGAAGAUUUUCAAAGCGAUCGAUUUCUAGUUAAUAUCAUAGGUUUAUUUCUAGUGAAAUAGUUGUAUAAUAUUAACCGAAAGUCGAUUCCAGAUGUUUUCUCAUAAAAUGGCUGAAUUCCAGUAAGAUUUUCCUUUCUUCAGUCUGAUUCAUUGUUUGUUUGGUUCAAUCGAGCAUCAUUUUAAUUUCCAGUACUAGUUUAAGUUCGUCUCUGAUUGGUAUGAAAGUUUAGGACAAUAUUUUAGGGUUAAUUCUCAUUUUUCUCCUUUUUUUAAAAUUUUUUUCUGAUUUUGAAUGUUCAAAUGAUAAUUGGUCGUUAGUACAAUUAAGUUUUCGCUUUGUUCUGUUCAUGUGAAGUUGGAUUUGGAAUUGGACUUAGUUUGAUUUCAGUUUAUGCUUUUGUUAAAGCCUUAUCAGUUGGUUAAUUGGUCAUUUAAUAUUAGUGUUAAUUGGUUGUUUGGAUAUAGCUGAAUAAAUCAUUUGUUAGUUGACUUUAGUUAGAUUUUAGCUAGGGAUAAAUGGGUUUGUGUAGUUAACUGAAGUUUGAAAUUUGAGGGGGUAAAUAAGGGUAGUUUGGGCAUAGAAAAGGGUAGUUUUAUUAAGAUUUGUAAUUUCAAAAUAAAGACAAGGAUAAUAUAGGUAUUAUAUAGCUAAAAAGAACACCCUAGGGCCUUCUAGAAUAGGAUUUUAGUGUACAUUUCAACACAAU